GUCCUUUCCCCGGCAGAAAUGCCGGGGCCUCAUUGAAGC
Molecule: non-coding RNA, 39 nt
Organism: Rhodospirillum centenum SW
Lineage: Bacteria; Pseudomonadati; Pseudomonadota; Alphaproteobacteria; Rhodospirillales; Rhodospirillaceae
Source: Rfam